UUAAUUAGAGCCAUAAUUUCGCGGCAUAUUAUUGUUAAUAAUAUCAUUAUAAUAAAUUUAUUAAUUAGA
This 69-nucleotide transfer RNA is filed under the name Megalyra sp. MM-2014. RNAcentral's name for it is "tRNA-Asn". The record is from RNAcentral. Lineage: Eukaryota; Metazoa; Arthropoda; Insecta; Hymenoptera; Megalyridae.